RNAcentral lists this ribosomal RNA (492 nucleotides) under uncultured bacterium. RNAcentral's name for it is "partial 16S ribosomal RNA". It matches the Rfam family "Bacterial small subunit ribosomal RNA", at positions 29 to 507 of the family's 1533-position model. The record is from RNAcentral.
AGUGAACGCUGGCGGUAGGCCUAACACAUGCAAGUCGAACGGCAGCACAGUAAGAGCUUGCUCUUACGGGUGGCGAGUGGCGGACGGGUGAGGAAUACAUCGGAAUCUACUUUUUCGUAGGGGAUAACGUAGGGAAACUUACGCUAAUACCGCAUACGACCUACGGGUGAAAGCAGGGGAUCUUCGGACCUUGCGCGAUUGAAUGAGCCGAUGUCGGAUUAGCUAGUUGGCGGGGUAAAGGCCCACCAAGGCGACAAUCCGUAGCUGGUCUGAGAGGAUGAUCAGCCACACUGGAACUGAGACACGGUCUAGACUCCUACGGGAGGCAGCAGUGGGGAAUAUUGGACAAUGGGCGCAAGCCUGAUCCAGCCAUACCGCGUGGGUGAAGAAGGCCUUCGGGUUGUAAAGCCCUUUUGUUGGGAAAGAAAAGCAGCAGGUUAAUACCCCGCUGUUCUGACGGUACCCAAAGAAUAAGCACCGGCUAACUUCGUG